GACGAACGCUGGCGGCGUGCCUAAUACAUGCAAGUAGGACGCUGAAGAGAGGAGCUUGCUCUUCUUGGAAGAGUUGCGAACGGGUGAGUAACGCGUAGGUAACCUGCCUUGUAGCGGGGGAUAACUAUUGGAAACGAUAGCUAAUACCGCAUAACAAUGGGUGACCCAUGUCAUUCAUUUGAAAGGGGCAACUGCUCCACUACAAGAUGGACCUGCGUUGUAUUAGCUAGUAGGUGAGGUAACGGCUCACCUAGGCGACGAUACAUAGCCGACCUGAGAGGGUGAUCGGCCACACUGGGACUGAGACACGGCCCAGACUCCUACGGGAGGCAGCAGUAGGGAAUCUUCGGCAAUGGGGGCAACCCUGACCGAGCAACGCCGCGUGAGUGAAGAAGGUUUUCGGAUCGUAAAGCUCUGUUGUAAGUCAAGAACGAGUGUGAGAGUGGAAAGUUCACACUGUGACGGUAGCUUACCAGAAAGGGACGGCUAACUACGUGCCAGCAGCCGCGGUAAUACGUAGGUCCCGAGCGUUGUCCGGAUUUAUUGGGCGUAAAGCGAGCGCAGGCGGUUUGAUAAGUCUGAAGUUAAAGGCUGUGGCUCAACCAUAGUUCGCUUUGGAAACUGUCAAACUUGAGUGCAGAAGGGGAGAGUGGAAUUCCAUGUGUAGCGGUGAAAUGCGUAGAUAUAUGGAGGAACACCGGUGGCGAAAGCGGCUCUCUGGUCUGUAACUGACGCUGAGGCUCGAAAGCGUGGGGGGCGAACAGG
Molecule: ribosomal RNA, 765 nt
Filed under: uncultured Streptococcus sp.
Lineage: Bacteria; Bacillati; Bacillota; Bacilli; Lactobacillales; Streptococcaceae
Description: bacterial SSU rRNA
Rfam family: Bacterial small subunit ribosomal RNA
Source: RNAcentral